Non-coding RNA from Triticum aestivum (bread wheat), 115 nucleotides. Lineage: Eukaryota; Viridiplantae; Streptophyta; Magnoliopsida; Poales; Poaceae. The record is from Rfam.
CUUGUACUCCCACCGUCCGAAAAUACUUGUCAUUGAAAUGGAUGUAUCUAGAUGUAUUUUAGUUCUAGACACAUCCAUUUUGAUGACAAGUAAUUCCGGACGGAGGGAGUACUUG